Molecule: long non-coding RNA, 736 nt
Filed under: Fragaria vesca (wild strawberry)
Lineage: Eukaryota; Viridiplantae; Streptophyta; Magnoliopsida; Rosales; Rosaceae
Description: long non-coding RNA (FVES_LNC000216)
Source: RNAcentral
AGCCGCACUCAUAUAAUAUUACUUUUUUGAUUAUAAAUUGAAAAAUAUCAAGAAAAAUUUAUAACCCGAUCAAAAAAAUCUAACAGAAAAUAAAAAAGAAUAAGUGAAGAGAGUUGUGAAAUAGUAAAUAUAUUGAGGGUAUUUUAGGCAGUUUGAGAUGUGUAUUUAGUAUAAUAUUGAAAUGAAAAAUUAAAUAAGUAGUGUAUUAAGUAAAGGGUGUGUAUUAAGAAAUUAAGGGUGUGUAUUUAAAAUUUCUCAAUUAAAUUUAGAACAUUAUUUUAGAAAUAUAAUGAACUUAUUUCAUAUUUUAGUAUAUUUUUAUUUAUUAAAAAUACAUAAAUAUAUAAUCUUAUUUUCCGUGUCCAAACUGACGCAGCAGGAGUAUGGAGGGCUAACCAACGUUAAACCCUAAUAAUUGGAGAGCCUUCAAGCGAAGAACUCUAUAGGACCAAACCCUGGAGCGCGCUAGGGAUUAAGAGAAAACUCUUAAGUUUCUGAAUUAUAAUUGAUAAACUGAAUGUCAGCUACCCAUAAGGGUGCUUAUAUAUGAGAAACAAAACCCUAGGGCGACUAACAACCAAACCUAAAAGCCCCAGGAUUGAAUUAAAACAGAAUCCGAAAAUAACUAGGAAACAUAAAAAUCCCGAAAACUAAUAAAACGCUGAUUUGAGGUCCAAAACAAACUUGGAUGGCCGAAAAAGCCCAUACGUCGUGGCAAAGCGACGAGUUUUGUUCG